UCGAGAAUCUUUUGCAAUGGGCGAAAGCCUGACAAAGCAACGCCGCGUGAGUGAUGAAGGUCUUCGGAUUGUAAAGCUCUGUCACCUGGGACGAAACCGUCCGGUGCUAACAUCGCCGGGCAUUGACGGUACCAGGGGAGGAAGCCCCGGCUAACUUCGUGCCAGCAGCCGCGGUAAUACGAAGGGGGCAAGCGUUGUUCGGAAUCACUGGGCGUAAAGGGUGCGUAGGUGGUUAUGUAAGUCGGAUGUGAAACCCCCUGGCUUAACUAGGGAUCUGCAUUCGAAACUGCAUAGCUUGAGUACGGGGGAAGAGAGUGGAAUUCUCAGUGUAGCGGUGAAAUGCGUAGAUAUUGAGAAGAACACCUGUGGCGAAAGCGGCUCUCUACCUUGAUACUGACACUGAGGCACGAAAGCUAGGGUAGCAAACG
Molecule: ribosomal RNA, 428 nt
Filed under: uncultured prokaryote
Description: bacterial SSU rRNA
Rfam family: Bacterial small subunit ribosomal RNA
Source: RNAcentral